This is a non-coding RNA of Acanthosepion pharaonis, 111 nucleotides long. The record is from the annotation of a GenBank genome assembly. NCBI's taxonomy places the organism in Eukaryota, Metazoa, Mollusca, Cephalopoda, Sepiida, Sepiidae.
CGACCACAUCACGUUGAAACACCGCUUCCCGUGCGAUCAACGAAGUUAAGCAACGUCGAGCCUGGUCGGCAUCUAGAUAGCUGAUCGCUUGGGAAUAUCAGGUGCUGUAAG